CCUACGGGUGACAGCAGUGGGGAAUAUUGCACAAUGGGGGAAACCCUGAUGCAGCGACGCCGCGUGAAGGAAGAAGUAUUUCGGUAUGUAAACUUCUAUCAGCAGGGAAGAAAAUGACGGUACCUGACUAAGAAGCCCCGGCUAACUACGUGCCAGCAGCCGCGGUAAUACGUAGGGGGCAAGCGUUAUCCGGAUUUACUGGGUGUAAGGGGAGCGUAGAGGGCGAUGCAAGCCUGAGGGGAAGGCGGGGGCCCAACCCCCGGACUGCUUUGGAAACUGGAUGGCUGGAGUGCAGGAGAGGAGAGUGGAAUUCCUAGUGUAGCGGUGAAAUGCGUAGAUAUUAGGAGGAACACCAGUGGCGAAGGCGGCUUACUGGACUGUAACUGACGUUGAGGCUCGAAAGCGUGGGGAGCAAACAGGAUUAGAUACCCUGGUAGUC
RNAcentral lists this ribosomal RNA (439 nucleotides) under uncultured bacterium. Its description in RNAcentral is "partial 16S ribosomal RNA". It matches the Rfam family "Bacterial small subunit ribosomal RNA", at positions 338 to 795 of the family's 1533-position model. The record is from RNAcentral.